AGAGUUUGAUCCUGGCUCAGAUUGAACGCUGGCGGCGUGCUUAACACAUGCAAGUCGUGCGAGAAAGGGGGCUUCGGUCCCUGAGUAGAGCGGCGCACGGGUGAGUAACGCGUGGAUUAUCUCCCUCAUUGUUUGGGAUAACGGCGGGAAACUGCCGCUAAUACCGGAUACGCUCCAAUUUCGGUUGGGGGAAAGGCGGCCUCUGCUUGCAAGCUGUCGCAAUGAGAUGAGUCCGCGUCCCAUUAGCUUGUUGGUGGGGUAAUGGCCCACCAAGGCAACGAUGGGUAGCUGGUCUGAGAGGAUGAUCAGCCACACUGGAACUGAAACACGGUCCAGACUCCUACGGGAGGCAGCAGUGGGGAAUAUUGCGCAAUGGGGGAAACCCUGACGCAGCGACGCCGUGUGAGGGAAGAAGGCUUUCGGGUCGUAAACCUCUGUCAGGAAGGAAGAACCUCUCAAGGCUGAACAAGCCUUGGGACUGACGGUACUUCCAGAGGAAGCACCGGCUAACUCCGUGCCAGCAGCCGCGGUAAUACGGAGGGUGCAAGCGUUAAUCGGAAUCACUGGGCGUAAAGCGCGCGUAGGCCGUCUUUUAAGGUCGGACGUGAAAGCCCUCGGCUCAACCGGGGAACUGCGUUCGAUACUGGGAGACUUGAGUCCUGGAGAGGGUGGCGGAAUUCCGGGUGUAGGAGUGAAAUCCGUAGAUAUCCGGAGGAACACCGGGUGGCGAA
Molecule: ribosomal RNA, 731 nt
Filed under: uncultured Desulfovibrio sp.
Lineage: Bacteria; Pseudomonadati; Thermodesulfobacteriota; Desulfovibrionia; Desulfovibrionales; Desulfovibrionaceae
Description: bacterial SSU rRNA
Rfam family: Bacterial small subunit ribosomal RNA
Source: RNAcentral